Molecule: long non-coding RNA, 2003 nt
Organism: Eriocheir sinensis (Chinese mitten crab)
Lineage: Eukaryota; Metazoa; Arthropoda; Malacostraca; Decapoda; Varunidae
Exons: 2
Source: RefSeq, a predicted model, not a curated record
GUGGUGGUGGUGAUUUUGUUUAGUGGAUUGGUUGUUGGUGAUGCGGGUUCUGUGUUUGUGUUUGUUCUUCCAAUGAUUUUUUUCCCUUUUUCUCCUCCUCCUUCUCCUUCUUCUUCCCAUUCUCUUUCUCCUUGUCCUCGCCCUCCUCCUCUUUUUUAUAUAUAUGUUUACCUUUGAUCUCACUUCUUCCUCCUUCUUUCUCCUUCUCUUCCUCCUUUUCCUCCUUUUGUUAUGUGUACUUUGUCCUCUUUGUUUUCCCUUCACCUCUUCCUCCUAUUUCUGUUUCCCCUUUGUCUCUUUUUCCUCUUCCUCUUCCUAUUCUUCCUCUUCUUUUAUGUGUACCUACUAUUGUCCUCUUACUUUUUCCUCUCGUUCCCCUAUUUCUGCUUCCUCUUUUUCUCUUCCUCCUCCUCCUCCUUCUCCUCUUCCUCCUAUUUCAAUAAGUACGAGAACAAGUAGUAUUAGGUAUAAGUCAGAUCAAUUAAGGCACACGAUGGAAAUAGGCAAGAACUGGCUCACGAACAGGCUGGUGGAGGAGUGGAACAAACUGAGGUAUGUAGUCAAGGAAAACAAUUGAAAGCUUUAACUGGAGGCUAGAAACUGAUCUCUCUUUCGGCCACCUCUUUGGAUUCUUUUAGGGAGCAGCGAGUAGCGGGCUUUUACUUUUAUUAUUGUUUACUAUUUUUGUGUGCCCUUGAGCUGUUUAUUGUCGUAAAAAAAAAAAAAAAGAUGAACUUAUGGACGAGAAGGGAAUGCGGUAUAAGCAACCCAUCAUCAGGAGCUGUGUAUGUGAAGGUCCUGGCCUCUUGUAGUCUCGUAUCUUUGUGUAUCCUUGUACAUGUCAGAGUACGUGUGAUACCUCGUUCUACUUCUUCCUCUUCCUCCCCUUCGCCUCGUCUGUCUGUCUCUUGUCAGUCAAUUUGUCUCUUUGUGUCUGUCUGUGCAUCUCGUUGUAAGCUGACGGUAAUGGUGGUGGUGGUGGUAGUGAGUUAUGUUGUUACUGUUACUGGUGGUACUUUUUGUUGUUACUGGUGCUGGUAAUGAUGGUGACGGUGAUGGUGAGUGACAUGAAGGUUGCCCGCUGAUGAAAAUGUAGCUGAGGCGAUGAUGAAGGGGGAGUUAAAAGUGAGGGUACGAAAAUUACGGAAAAAAGAGAAAGAAGGAAGUAAAGAAAGGAAGGGGAAAGGUGAAAAAACGGAUGAGAUAUGGAAGAUGGAGGAAUAAAGUAACAAAUAAAAAAGAAAUGGGAAGACGAAAGGAGAAUAGAAAGAAGGAAGACAGCGAGUUAGAAAGAUGGAAUGUGGGGGAAUAGAUAUAAAGAAAUGGAGAAUGGAGGAGAGAGAGAAGAGAAAAUGGAAAGUGGAGAAAGAAACGAAAUGGAGAACAGAGGUGAGAGAAGAGAUGACGAAAAAGGGAGAAAUAAACCAAAUGGAGAAUGGAGGAGAGAAAGAAGAGAAGAUGACGGAAAAGGGAGAAAGAAACGAAAUGAAGAAUGGAGGAGAGAAAGAAGAGAAGAUGACGGAAAAGGGAGAAAUAAACGAAAUGGAGAAUGGAGGUGAGAGAAGAGAAAAUAAUAAAGGGAGAAAGAAACCAAAUAAAGAAUGGAGAUGAGAAAGAAGAGAAGAAGAAAAGACUGAGCAAAGACGAAAACUAACGCAAGAAAGGAAAUAAAUAAAGGAGACAAACAAAAAAGACACAAGGAAAAUAGAAGAAAAAAAGAGUAUUAUGAAAACGACGCCAGAAAAAUGAAAAGAAAAAAAAUGAAGAAAAAACACAAGAAAAGAAGGAAAAGACAGACAGAAUAGACGAAAUCUCACGCAAGAGGAAAAAAGAGAAUAAGAUAAAGACGUGAAAGAAUAAAAGAAAAAAAAACUACUGUCAAAACACAUAUAUUACCAUUUUCUAUGAACUAAAUCAGACACAAUUUGCAUCAGAGAGAGAGAGAGAGAGAGAGAGAGAGAGAGAGAGAGAGAGAGAGAGAGAGAGAGAGAGAGAGAGAGAGA